CGCGGCCUAUCAGCUUGUUGGUGAGGUAGUGGCUCACCAAGGCUUCGACGGGUAGCCGGCCUGAGAGGGCGACCGGCCGCACUGGGACUGAGAUACGGCCCAGACUCCUACGGGAGGCAGCAGUGGGGAAUAUUGCACAAUGGGCGGAAGCCUGAUGCAGCAACGCCGCGUGCGGGAUGACGGCCUUCGGGUUGUAAACCGCUUUCAGUGGGAACGAAGCUAACGUGACGGUACCUACAGAAGAAGCACCGGCCAACUACGUGCCAGCAGCCGCGGUGAUACGUAGGGUGCGAGCGUUGUCCGGAAUUAUUGGGCGUAAAGGGAUUGUAGGCGGUUCGUCGCGUCGAAAGUGAAAACUCAGGGCUCAACCCUGAGCCUGCUUUCGAUACGGGCGGACUAGAGGUAUGCAGGGAGA
Molecule: ribosomal RNA, 415 nt
Filed under: uncultured bacterium
Lineage: Bacteria
Description: bacterial SSU rRNA
Rfam family: Bacterial small subunit ribosomal RNA
Source: RNAcentral